GCAGUCGAGCGGCAGCGCGGGGGCACCCUGGCGGCGAGCGGCGAACGGGUGAGUAAUACAUCGGAACGUGUCCUGGAGUGGGGGAUAGCUCGGCGAAAGCCGGAUUAAUACCGCAUAAGCUCUGAGGAGGAAAGCGGGGGAUUCGCAAGGACCUCGCGCUGUUGGAGCGGCCGAUGUCGGAUUAGCUAGUUGGUGGGGUAAAGGCCCACCAAGGCGACGAUCCGUAGCUGGUCUGAGAGGAUGAUCAGCCACACUGGAACUGAGACACGGUCCAGACUCCUACGGGAGGCAGCAGUGGGGAAUUUUGAACAAUGGGGGCAACCCUGAUCCAGCCAUUCCGCGUGAGUGAAGAAGGCCUUCGGGUUGUAAAGCUCUUUCGGACGGAACGAAAUGGUUACGGUGAAUACCCGUGACUGAUGACGGUACCGUAAGAAGAAGCACCGGCUAACUACGUGCCAGCAGCCGCGGUAAUACGUAGGGUGCGAGCGUUAAUCGGAAUUACUGGGCGUAAAGCGUGCGCAGGCGGCGGCUCAAGUCAGGUGUGAAAUCCCCGGGCCUAACCUGGGAACUGCAUUUGUGACUGCAUGGCUGGAGUGCGGC
This 600-nucleotide ribosomal RNA is filed under the name uncultured bacterium. Its description in RNAcentral is "bacterial SSU rRNA". It matches the Rfam family "Bacterial small subunit ribosomal RNA", at positions 57 to 652 of the family's 1533-position model. The record is from RNAcentral.